Molecule: ribosomal RNA, 360 nt
Filed under: uncultured bacterium
Lineage: Bacteria
Description: bacterial SSU rRNA
Rfam family: Bacterial small subunit ribosomal RNA
Source: RNAcentral
GACGAACGCUGGCGGCGUGCCUAACACAUGCAAGUCGAGCGGGGUCCAUCCGGUAGCAAUACCGGGGAAGACCUAGCGGCGAACGGGUGAGUAACACGUGAGAAACCUGCCCCGAAGUCUGGGAUAACCCGAGGAAACUCGAGCUAAUACCGGAUGUCUUCUUCUGAUCGCAUGGUCGGAUGAAGAAAAGAUUUAUCGCUUCGGGAGGGUCUCGCGGCCUAUCAGCUAGUUGGCGGGGUAACGGCCCACCAAGGCGUCGACGGGUAGGCUGGUCUGAGAGGACGAUCAGCCACACUGGGACGUGAGACACGGCCCAGACUCCUACGGGAGGCAGCAGUGGGGAAGUAUUGCGCAAUGGGC